This 292-nucleotide long non-coding RNA is filed under the name Homo sapiens (human). RNAcentral's name for it is "HSALNT0290153". The record is from RNAcentral. Lineage: Eukaryota; Metazoa; Chordata; Mammalia; Primates; Hominidae.
AUGACUUGGGCCAAUUACACGACUGCAAAGCUAGAGCUGCCAACAGGGCUCCAGGGAGCUUGGCUUCUGUAGAAGUUCUAAGGAAGCGGUACGAACUCCACGGCGGUGGGGCGCUAACUAGCAGGGACCCCUGCAAGUGUUGGUCGGGGGCCUCGAGCUGCCUGAGCUGACACGAGGGGAGGGGUCUGUGUAGCCAACAGGUGACCGAAGGGCUUGCCUGCCCACAGCUUACUUGGCCAAGGGGUUUCUGAAGUUCCUGCCGGCAAACUUAGCCUUGCUGCCCACCCUCCUU